Molecule: ribosomal RNA, 238 nt
Filed under: Pseudo-nitzschia pungens
Lineage: Eukaryota; Bacillariophyta; Bacillariophyceae; Bacillariales; Bacillariaceae
Description: partial Eukaryotic large subunit ribosomal RNA
Rfam family: Eukaryotic large subunit ribosomal RNA
Source: RNAcentral
GAUCUUGGUGGUAGUAGCAAAUACUCAAAUGAGAACUUUGAGGACUGAAGUGGGGAAAGGUUCCGUGUGAACAGCAGUUGGACACGGGUUAGUCGAUCCUAAGCCAUAGGGAAACUCCGUUUUAAAGUGCGCUCUCGGGCGCCGCCUGGCGAAAGGGAAACCGGUUAAUAUUCCGGUACCUCGAUGUGGAUUAUCCGCGGCAACGCAACUGAAGGUGGAGACGUCGGCGGGGGCCCCG